GAUGAAGAACGUAGCGAAAUGCGAUAAGUAAUGUGAAUUGCAGAAUUCAGUGAAUCAUCGAAUCUUUGAACGCACAUUGCGCCCGCCAGUAUUCUGGCGGGCAUGCCUGUUCGAGCGUCAUUACAACCCUCAGGCCCCCGGGCCUGGCGUUGGGGAUCGGCGGAAGCCCCCUGUGGGCACACGCCGUCCCUCAAAUACAGUGGCGGUCCCGCCGCAGCUUCCAUUGCGUAGUAGCUAACACCUCGCAACUGGAGAGCGGCGCGGCCAUGCCGUAAAACACCCAACUUCUGAAUGUUGACCUCGAAUCAGGUAGGAAUACCCGCUGAACUUAAGCAUAUCAAUAAGCGGAGGA
Molecule: unclassified non-coding RNA, 352 nt
Filed under: soil metagenome
Description: partial contains 5.8S ribosomal RNA, internal transcribed spacer 2, and large subunit ribosomal RNA
Rfam family: 5.8S ribosomal RNA (bases 1-120)
Source: RNAcentral